GAACUUCUAAACAUUCUCUUAAGGAACGAAGUCCAUAUAAUCCUAGGGAUAGUAAUGAGGAAACAAGAAGAGGAGAAGCUAUUAGAGAUAACGUAGCAAUUGAUAUGUGGGUUGCUUAUAAUGUUGAUUAUUUGUGGACUAAUUGUGUUGCCUAUGAAUUUGUGUUGUUUAUGAUAUUUGUGUGGUUUAUAACAUGUGUAACAUUAAUGUUUUAAUUGAAUACUAUAAUUUGAAAUUUAGUUUGUUGUAAUCAUAUUAUAUUUCGUUGCCUAUUGUUUUUUAAAAAAUGAUUAUAUUUGUUGGUGUUAUGUUGUAGUGUCUUAGAAAAUGACGAAGAGGAACAAAUUUGCAGAUUGAGGGAGUAACACUGUCCAUUGGACAGAUUCUAUGGAUGAUACCUUAGUAGAUACAUUUUACAGUCAACAUUUGUUGGGUCGUAAAUCUGGUGGGACAUUCACUACACAAGCCAUUGAUUGUAUUGUGACAGAAAUGAGGAAUGCAUUUCCAAACACGCGAGUUGAUGAAGAGCAAAUCCACAAGCACAUCAAAAAUUUAAAAAAUAAUUUUCCAAAAGGUAUGACAUUUUCAAAAAUAGGUUGAGUGGUUUUGCCUGACAUCUAGUAACUGAAAAAUUUAAAGCAGAAGAUGAGGUGUGACAGCAACUAAUAGAGACUCACUCUGAAGCAGUUGAACUAAAGAACAAACGAGUGCAGAAUUACGACAAAACGUUGAAAAUGUAUAGAAAGGAUAGAACUGAUGGGGCUGGUUGUGAGACGAUAUGUACUAAUCAAAGGCAGAGGUAGAGGAAUGUUAAUGAAAAUGCAAUGAGCAUUGAGGAGAUUGACUGUAUGGUUUCCUAAAAUUAAGGUGGUAAUUUCAGUUUUGAUGGUGUGGAUUCUUUGAAUGAUGCUUCAAUGCCUAAAACACCUACUUCACAACUUUAAUAUAAAGCUCCAAGUUCUUCCAGGUUGAAGAAAUCGAAACAUUUGCCGGGUAUCUUAGAGGAUGAUUAUAUGUCUCAACAAAUUGGAAUGGUUGCAACUGCACUCAAGGAAAUGGCAACAAACACACAUGUUCCUAUUCUAGCAAGCUAGUUAUAUGAAGAGGUUGGUCGUUUGGGUUUCGAGGCGGAUCAAGAAACACAAGCUUAUAUAGUUCUUAUGGGCAAACCAAACAUGGCUAUUCCUUUCAAGAAUUGCCCUCCUAAACGGUAAUUUGUUUCAUUCACCAGAUAUUGAAACCGGGGCUGUUGUUGCCGAAGUGCAAGACUCUAGUAUGAAUUUAAGGAAGUUGGAAAAAUUAUAUGUA
This is a non-coding RNA of Carica papaya (papaya), 1308 nucleotides long. Lineage: Eukaryota; Viridiplantae; Streptophyta; Magnoliopsida; Brassicales; Caricaceae. The record is from RefSeq and is a predicted model, not a curated record.